UCACCGCUUGCGCGGGCAGUCUCAUUAGAGUUCCCAGCUUUACCUGAUGGCAACUAAUGAUAGGGGUUGCGCUCGUUACGGGACUUAACCCAACACCUCACGGCACGAGCUGACGACAGCCAUGCAGCACCUAGUUUCGUGUCCUUGCGGACUAACUCUUUUCGGAGUUAUUCACUAACUUUCAAGCCCAGGUAAGGUUCCUCGCGUAUCAUCGAAUUAAACCACAUGCUCCUCCGCUUGUGCGGGCCCCCGUCAAUUCCUUUGAGUUUCAACCUUGCGGUCGUACUCCCCAGGUGGAUCACUUAACGCUUUCGCUUGGCCACUGACAGUAUAUCGCCAACAGCGAGUGAUCAUAGUUUAGGGCGUGGACUAC
Molecule: unclassified non-coding RNA, 373 nt
Filed under: uncultured Sphingobacteriales bacterium
Lineage: Bacteria; Pseudomonadati; Bacteroidota; Sphingobacteriia; Sphingobacteriales
Description: contains 16S-23S intergenic spacer region
Source: RNAcentral